Molecule: long non-coding RNA, 569 nt
Organism: Rana temporaria (common frog)
Lineage: Eukaryota; Metazoa; Chordata; Amphibia; Anura; Ranidae
Exons: 3
Source: RefSeq, a predicted model, not a curated record
CGUUGAAAGCUAUUCAAACAACAAAUUCUCUUCAAACUCCUCUAUCUUCUAAGAAGGAAAACCAAAUCUAAAAGCAGAUAUGUCUGGAACAAAAAAAUGUGCCAGCCAGAAGAUCAAAUGCCAAGAUCCUUGCCAAAAAACCCCAGUCUGCAAAGAUCCAUGCCAAGACCCAUGUAAACCUCAGGGUCAACGUGGCAACCUCUUUGUUCGCCAACAAGAUCCUUGCAAUCCUUGCAAGCCUUGUGUUGUCCCCGUCUCCUGCUGUCCUGAUCCUUGUGAUCCUUGUCAGGGCAAAUGACGUUUUUGCUGUGAUUAAUGAAGACUUCACGCUUGAGCCCAAAGUCUAAGAUACUAAUUUACAUCUCUGCAAAAUACUUACAACACAUCUGAUUUUAAAUCCUGCAAUUGCUACAGCUUGUUAAUUAACUCUGCUCAAUUAAACUUUAAAUUGCUUGCUCUAAAUAUAUUUCUUUGUUUUAUUAAACAAACUGCAAUGGGGUGCCAAAUUACUAAAAUAUAGCAAACUUACCAGUACUGAUGUUCAAUACACUGCUGUAGUAAAUUGUUAA